UGGGGAAUAUUGCACAAUGGGCGCAAGCCUGAUGCAGCCAUGCCGCGUGUAUGAAGAAGGCCUUCGGGUUGUAACGUACUUUCAGCGGGGAGGAAGGGAGUAAAGUUAAUACCUUUGCUCAUUGACGUUACCCGCAAAAGAAGCACCGGCUAACUCCGUGCCAGCAGCCGCGGUAAUACGGAGGGUGCAAGCGUUAAUCGGAAUUACUGGGCGUAAAGCGCACGCAGGCGGUUUGUUAAGUCAGAUGUGAAAUCCCCGGGCUCAACCUGGGAACUGCAUCUGAGACUGGCAAGCUUGAGUCUCGUAGAGGGGGGUAGAAUUCCAGGUGUAGCGGUGAAAUGCGUAGAGAUCUGGAGGAAUACCGGUGGCGAAGGCGGCCCCCUGGACGAAGACUGACGCUCAGGUGCGAAAGCGUGGGGAGCAAACAGG
This 429-nucleotide ribosomal RNA is filed under the name Chloroflexota bacterium. RNAcentral describes it as "Chloroflexi bacterium partial 16S ribosomal RNA". It matches the Rfam family "Bacterial small subunit ribosomal RNA", at positions 355 to 776 of the family's 1533-position model. The record is from RNAcentral. Lineage: Bacteria; Bacillati; Chloroflexota.